AUGGAGGCGGGAGCCCAGGCCAAUGUAGAAGCUGCUCAUCUGGCCCAGGUCCACGGCGUUGCCGUGCGAGAAGAGGACCGUGUACCUGGGGCAGGCCGGGAAGGGCCAUUCACAUCCUCAUUCCCAGCGCCCAGCUGCAGGGCAGGAGGACGCGUACUGACAGCCCACCCCGGUGGCCAGCCAUGCCCAGCGCCUUGUUUACUCCCCUCCCAAGGGGGCCCGAAGCCAGCGAAUGGACAGGGGAGGCUACGACAGCACAGCUCCAUCUCCGGGGGUUCCCCAUGGGGAGAGAACAGGAGAGCCGGCAGGGGUACAGGCAGCCUGGGCUGCAGAGAGGCCAGCCAGGGAGCCUCAGGACUCCCAUCUGUGAAGCGGGACACUGGGACCAUUGGUCACAUCCUCUCUCUGGGCAGACGCGCAGUGUGUGCCCGGAUGCUGCAGGUCUCGCUGCCCUGCAGCCCUUCCUCCUGGAAGAGCCGGGACCCCCGGGGAUGGAGCACACAGGCCCACCUUUCAGGACCUUCCCAGGGAAGACCGUGCUGCUGCUGGCAGGGCUAUCUGCCCUCCCCUCACAGAAUGGUGCCCUCACUGUUGGGAACAACUGGACCCCACCCCUGCCCCCAACAAGCAAAUGCGCCCAAUCCCUGCUCACAUUCACGCAGCCCCUCCUGCCCCGCCACCCUGCCCAAGCCCCGAGCCCGUGCUACAAGGCCUGUCUGCUUCCCAGCACGGGAGCUGCCCCAGGUGGUGCCAGGAGCAGGCGGCCAGGCUGGCCCUACCAGGGACUGCUUCCUCCAGUUCCCCCAGGACCCUGCCCAGCCCAGCCAGAAGGUAAAGGCUCGCCCUCUGGACUCAGAUCUGGUCAGAACCCCACCUGGCAAGAAGGCGGAUGUAGGUCAGGGCGGCCCCUGUGCCCCACCCCAGCAGGCAACCACCAGGGGCUGGGUCGCUGGAGUCGCCCGGCCUGCCCAACUAUGCCAGCUGGGGAUGGCCUCCCUGAGCCUGGUAUCCUUGUCUGCGAGAGGAAAUCGCUGGAGGGAUGAGGCCAGCCCGGCCGGGGACACCACCCAUGCCAGCUGGAUGGCCCUUCACAGCAGGCUCAGGCCCUCUGGGGCACCACCAACCACACCAAGCACCCGGGGCAGAAACGGGAGCCCCAAGAACAGGGUGACCCAGCCCGGGCGCGGCCACAGCUGCUCACCUGGCACCAGGCACGCAGCGAACAUACAUGCAGGAGACACGGUUGCCGCGGGCGCUCUUCGUGGGGAAGACCUCGAUGGCGUCCAGCUCGCGCUGGCUGUACUGGAAGUCGGCGCGCUCCGUCAGGUGCAGCUUCCAGCCCGGGUGCACCCGAGGAGGCCCGUAGGGUCCCCAAGGGCCCCGGCCCCACCAGGCCCUGACUCGGGUUCAGGCACCAGGGAGUAG
Molecule: long non-coding RNA, 1425 nt
Filed under: Macaca fascicularis (crab-eating macaque)
Lineage: Eukaryota; Metazoa; Chordata; Mammalia; Primates; Cercopithecidae
Description: lncRNA (ENSMFAG00000049751.1)
Source: RNAcentral